GUGGCCAAGUUUUUAAGGGCGCACGGUGGAUGCCUUGGCACCAGGAACCGAUGAAGGACGUGGGAGGCCACGAUAGUCCCCGGGGAGUCGUCAACCAGGCUUUGAUCCGGGGGUUUCCGAAUGGGGAAACCCGGCAGUCGUCAUGGGCUGUCACCCGCUGCUGAACUCAUAGGCAGUGUGGAGGGAACGCGGGGAAGUGAAACAUCUCAGUACCCGCAGGAAGAGAAAACAACCGUGAUUCCGGGAGUAGUGGCGAGCGAAACUGGAUGAGGCCAAACCGUAUGUGUGUGAUACCCGGCAGGGGUUGCGCAUGCGGGGUUGUGGGAUCUCUCUUCCACGGUCUGCCGGCCGUGGGACGAGUCAGAAACCGUUGAUGUAGGCGAAGGACAUGCGAAAGGUCCGGCGUAGAGGGUAAGACCCCCGUAGUCGAAACAUCAGCGGCUCGUUUGAGAGACACCCAAGUAGCACGGGGCCCGAGAAAUCCCGUGUGAAUCUGGCGGGACCACCCGCUAAGCCUAAAUAUUCCCUGGUGACCGAUAGCGGAUAGUACCGUGAGGGAAUGGUGAAAAGUACCGCGGGAGCGGAGUGAAAUAGUACCUGAAACCGUGUGCCUACAAGCCGUGGGAGCGUCGCGCAUCGAGCUUGCUCGGUGCGUCGUGACUGCGUGCCUUUUGAAGAAUGAGCCUGCGAGUUAGCGGUGUGUAGCGAGGUUAACCCGUGUGGGGAAGCCGUAGCGAAAGCGAGUCCGAACAGGGCGUUUGAGUUGCACGCUCUAGACCCGAAGCGGAGUGAUCUAGCCAUGGGCAGGUUGAAGCGGCUGUAAGAGGUCGUGGAGGACCGAACCCACCAGGGUUGAAAACCUGGGGGAUGACCUGUGGUUAGGGGUGAAAGGCCAAUCAAACUCCGUGAUAGCUGGUUCUCCCCGAAAUGCAUUUAGGUGCAGCGUCGUGUGUUUCUUGCCGGAGGUAGAGCACUGGAUAGGCGAUGGGCCCUACCGGGUUACUGACCUUAGCCAAACUCCGAAUGCCGGUAAGUGAGAGCGCGGCAGUGAGACUGUGGGGGAUAAGCUCCAUGGUCGAGAGGGAAACAGCCCAGAGCAUCGACUAAGGCCCCUAAGCGUACGCUAAGUGGGAAAGGAUGUGGAGUCGCAGAGACAACCAGGAGGUUGGCUUAGAAGCAGCCACCCUUGAAAGAGUGCGUAAUAGCUCACUGGUCUAGUGAUUCCGCGCCGACAAUGUAGCGGGGCUCAAGCGUACCGCCGAAGUCGUGUCAUUGCAGCAAUACUCCCAACGGAGGCUGUGAUGGGUAGGGGAGCGUCGUGUGCCGGGUGAAGCAGCCGUGGAAGCGAGUUGUGGACGGUUCACGAGUGAGAAUGCAGGCAUGAGUAGCGAUUCACACGUGAGAAACGUGUGCGCCGAUUGACUAAGGGUUCCUGGGUCAAGCUGAUCUGCCCAGGGUAAGUCGGGACCUAAGGCGAGGCCGACAGGCGUAGUCGAUGGAUAACCGGUUGAUAUUCCGGUACCCGCUGUGAAGCGUCAAACAUUGAAUCCAGUGAUGCUAAGCCCGUGAAGCCGUUCCGGACCCUUCGGGGAAUGGAAAGUGGUGGAGCCGGUGGCCCGAGCUGGUAGUAGGUGAGUGAUGGGGUGACGCAGGAAGGUAGUCCAUCCCGGGCGGUGGUUGUCCCGGGGUAAGGGUGUAGG
RNAcentral lists this ribosomal RNA (1700 nucleotides) under Streptomyces sp. BvitLS-983. RNAcentral describes it as "bacterial LSU rRNA". It matches the Rfam family "Bacterial large subunit ribosomal RNA", at positions 1 to 1524 of the family's 2925-position model. Lineage: Bacteria; Bacillati; Actinomycetota; Actinomycetes; Kitasatosporales; Streptomycetaceae. The record is from RNAcentral.